Molecule: long non-coding RNA, 4055 nt
Filed under: Panax ginseng (ginseng)
Lineage: Eukaryota; Viridiplantae; Streptophyta; Magnoliopsida; Apiales; Araliaceae
Description: long non-coding RNA (PGIN_LNC006214)
Source: RNAcentral
GAAAAUAUUCAGUUUAAAUCCAUUUACCGGAAGCUUAAGUGUCUAUUUCUUUCAUUUUCUAAAUUAUGCCUUAUUUCUAAUCCAUUGGUAGCUAUUUCUUGAAGAGGAUAAAGAAACAAAUACUUGAAAAGAGCUAGUUUUGUUCGCAGUCGAUUCUUCUUUAUGUUUCUGUUUUUGGUUUUGAUUUCGAAAGAAAUUUGAGAUCUAUUUUCUUGAAUAUAUCAGACGUUAGUUAGGUUUAUCCUGCAGUUUGCACCCCUGUAUAAAGGUAAUUAUGUAGAAGUAAAAGUGAUCUUGUCUAUUUAUUUAAAAUGACAGAUGUCUCAGAAACUUUCCCAAUAUCCAGCUUAUGGAGGAUCUAUAAAUAAAAAAUAAAAAGAUUUACUCAAAUUUGAACUUCUGGAUAUUAGUUUGACUCUUGAUUUUUGCUAAUUGGCAGGCUCGAGUGAUGGUAGUAUCUAUGCUUGGAGUGUUCGGAAUGGAAUGGCAAAGAAGUAUGAUUCAUAUCUCUUAUUUUUUUAUCGCCUUACAUCCACAUCUCCCAUUCCUCCCCCUCCCCUCCCCUCCCCUUCCCUUCCCUUCCGACCCAUCACUUCUUUUGUUAUUUAUCUGGUUUUCUAGGUCUCUUGUUUUGUGAUGCUUUUUUAUUGGUCAUAAAAUCAAAGCAGACGGGAACAUUUUUGAUUCUCUAAACAAGCAGGUUUUGGGUUAUUUUAUUGUUUUAGCACCCUAGUUCUCUUGUUGGUUUUGAUACCAUGAAAUAAAAUAGAGAAAAAGACCUUCAAGGGAAUCAAGAAAUCAAAAUAUUUUCAACAGAAAACUCCAGUGAACCACUUUCGUUGAAGGAGGUUUCUACAGGAAGAGUUGCAACUCAGCGUAAUUAAUGGACUGUGGAAUUGAUAUCCUGCUCCAUAAUUCUGUUGUCAAACUUAAUUCCAAACUCCUCAUAUUAGUGAAUCUCAGCCAACGAAACACCUAAAUUUUAGAUAUGCACUUUCACCAUAAAAAAUGUUUGUUCAAAUCUAAUUAGAUAAGUUUUUACUGAAAUUACCAACUUUUAUCCCGAAUCACAAGUAUUUAUAUAUCAAGGGAGAUGCACAGUGGUGACGCGGUGAGACUGGAGUGUGGCGGCGAUGUGCUCUGGUGGCGGAGUGUUUGUCACGGUGGGAAUGUAAGUGAUUCCGAUGAUGGGGAUUGUACUUCCGGCGGCAGUGGUGGUGGCCGCCGCGGUGGAGGCAGUCUACAAGGCUCUAUAAAUUUAAAAUUUUUAUUAAUAAUUUAGAUUUAUAUCUUUCUCUUACCGAUUAAGAGAAACAAAAUUUUACCAACACAAUUUUAUCAUCUUAUCUUACCAAAUUAAAUACAAAGUUGUUAAGAGAUAAACAAAUACAACUUUAAUUGUAAGACCCCUUUUUUUUAUGAAUAAAGAUGAUUUUUUUUUCUAUAAAUAUCAUUUUUGAAUAUUAUGGAAUGAAUUUAAUAUAAUGUUAUAGUUGUGAGUAAUAUUUAUAAAUUUUGCAAAGUAUGCAAGUUGUCAUAUUAUAUUCGAUUGGUCGGAAAAUAUUUUUUUUGUCAGGGAAUAUUCGUACGAUGGUACAAUCAUUGGUGGCCCCACAAUGGAAUUAUUGUCGGAUUGAGAAAACGACAAAAAUAUUUUAUUGAAAAUAACGGCAGAAGUUUUACCAUUAAUACUGUUGAACUACUCAGUGGUAAAAGUACAGUAAUACGCGUGGUUGCAUAGUAGCACACGGUAUUGAUUAUUGAUGCUUAUGUGAGAAGUCAUCUCAGUUUUGUUUUAUUACUUAUAUAUAUAUAUAUAUAAGGUAUGUAUUUAUAUAUAUUAUAUAUAAGUAAAGUUGUCAAUUUGGGUGGGGGGUAGGAAGAUUUGGUUUAUACGGAGAGGGAGUACAAUUAUUAUCAUUAUAUAUAUAUAUAAUUUGUCACAUGUUUUGAGGAUGGUGGGGGGAGGUUCACGACAAAUCAAAGAAAAAAAGGGGAAGGAUUGCUUGGAAAAGAGGGAGUUACAUUAUUAUUAUUAUUAUAUUUAUAUAUAUGUAAUUUAGUUGACAACUUGGUAAGGCUGAUCACGGGAGUGUAUCCCGUGAAAAAUUUUACACAUGCUAUAUAUAUAUUUAAUAUAUAUAAUAUAUAAUAUAUUUUAUUUAAAAGAUUUUGCUUUAAAUAUGGAUCGUCCGAUUAAAAGUAAAUCAAUCUGGACCGUUCAUGAAUUAGUUACUAUGCAGUCCAUUCUUCUAUAAAUAGAAGCUCAUUCCUUCAUUAUUUUCUUACGAAUUCACUGAACUCUAGAGAGAGAAAUUAUAGAGAGAAAGAAGAAGAGUUUUAUGUUACUUCACUACUCUGAUAUCAAGUUUAUUUUACGGUAAGGGGUAUUAUUUAUUUCUUAUUCAUGAAGAGAACUUCUGUUAUUCCAUUCUUUAUUAUUCUGUUGGAAUAACCUGUAUACGCAGUCUACCCUAUACUUGGUGAUUUCUGUUGUUAUUUCAUUCUUUAUUAUUCUGUUGGAACAUCCUGUCUGUGCGUUUUAAGCCGGACCUGGUUCCGUCUUUAUUAUUCUGUUGGAACAUCCUGUCUGUGCGUUUCACGUCGGACCUGGUUCCGUCUUUAUUAUCUUGUUGGAAUAUCCUGUCUGUGCGUUUUACGCCGGACCUGAUUCCGUUAUUUAUUAUUCUGUUGGAAUAACCUGUCUAUGCGAAGUACCGCAUGCAUGGUGAUUUUUGUUGUUAUUUCAUUCUUUAUUAUACUGUUGGAAUAUCCUGUCGGUGCGUAUUACGCCUGACCUGGUUCCGUUAUUUAUUAUUCAGUUGGAAUAACCUGUCUAUGCGAAGUACCGCAUGCAUGGUGAUUUCUUUUGUUAUUCCAUUUUUUAUUAUACUCAGUUGGUUAAAGUUUUGACUUCUAUACUCCAUGAAAUUAGUGAAAUAUUCUUGAUAUUUGCGCUUCAUCCAGUAUCUUUCAUGAAAAUAUUCUUCUGAGCAUUUUUAAAUUUUACUCUAAAAAGCAGUAUCACGUUGACAAUUUGAACGUUAUUAGUUCUUGAAUAAAUUAAUUCGUGAACUUGUUUUAUUGAAUUCUUAUAUCAUUGUCAUCAUCCUCAUGUUUAUAUUUUUUUGAAAGUCAUUUGUGGCCUGUAGUGCAUAGAUGGACUUGGUAUGAUUAUGACUAGGGAUUAUUCGGUGUAAUCAUGACCGUAAUGUUACAAAUGAUGUGAUAAAAGUCCUCAUUGGCCCGUAGUGCAUUGAUGGACAGUUGUUGACAUGAUCAUGACCAUUGAUGAAUACACGAAUAUCCUUGGCCUGUAGUGCAUGGAUAAUUUGUGGUCGUGAUAUUAAAGAAUAUCUUUGGCCGUAGUGCAGGGGUGAUUCGAUGAUGUGGAUUAUUUAUUAAGCUGAGUCUCAGCGAUAAAAGUGAUGAAAAACUUUUUAAAUCAUAAAAGAUAGUAGAUUUUAUUCUCUACUUGACUCUUUUAAUGGAUUGCUUGACCCGCUGCAGUUAAAACUUGAUGUUUGUUAUAUUGUAUCAGCUUAACACUGUUUAAGGCUAAUGAUAAUUUAUUCUGCAUUAUCUUAGUCAUAAUAUAUCUUAUUGGGCUAGUUGAGCUGACCCUUUCUUUCACUUUUCUCUUCAGGAAAUGAGAACGUAGCUGGGACGAGUCGGGGAACGGAGUGAUAGUCCUAGAUGGUGUAUUAGUAGUCCUCACUAUUCUGUUAAAUAGUGUGGCAAUAAAUAUAAUGAGGACUUAUUCUGAGAGUGGAUAUUGUCUAGAAGACAGUAUUUGUAUUAAAACUCACAGCUCUCUUGUUGUAUUUUAAAGAUUGUAUUUGUAUUUUGUACCAUAUAUUUGACAACUCAGAAUAGGUGUUGUAUACCUAUUUUGGGGGCGUCACAGUUGGUAUCAAAGCUUAGAGAUAUGAUCCAUGGCUAAGGUGUGAGACGAGAACUAGGAGGGGAGAGACGGGGAAUUCCUUAGCUAGUAUGACCUACCUAAGUUUAUUUGAUAUUUAAUUGGUCGGUCAGAGUAUAAGAAUAAUAUGUGA